AAGCUUGGGCUCUUUGCUGACGAGUGGCGGACGGGUGAGUAAUGUCUGGGAAACUGCCUGGUGGAGGGGGAUAACUACUGGAAACGGUAGCUAAUACCGCAUAACGUCGCAAGACCAAAGAGGGGGACCUUCGGGCCUCUUGCCAUCGGAUGUGCCCAGAUGGGAUUAGCUUGUAGGUGGGGUAACGGCUCACCUAGGCGACGAUCCCUAGCUGGUCUGAGAGGAUGACCAGCCACACUGGAACUGAGACACGGUCCAGACUCCUACGGGAGGCAGCAGUGGGGAAUAUUGCACAAUGGGCGCAAGCCUGAUGCAGCCAUGCCGCGUGUAUGAAGAAGGCCUUCGGGUUGUAAAGUACUUUCAGCGGGGAGGAAGGGAGUAAAGUUAAUACCUUUGCUCAUUGACGUUACCCGCAGAAGAAGCACCGGCUAACUCCGUGCCAGCAGCCGCGGUAAUACGGAGGGUGCAAGCGUUAAUCGGAAUUACUG
Molecule: ribosomal RNA, 488 nt
Filed under: Escherichia coli
Lineage: Bacteria; Pseudomonadati; Pseudomonadota; Gammaproteobacteria; Enterobacterales; Enterobacteriaceae
Description: bacterial SSU rRNA
Rfam family: Bacterial small subunit ribosomal RNA
Source: RNAcentral